RNAcentral lists this ribosomal RNA (115 nucleotides) under Castor canadensis (American beaver). Lineage: Eukaryota; Metazoa; Chordata; Mammalia; Rodentia; Castoridae. The record is from RNAcentral.
GUCUAUGGCCAUACCACCCUGAAUGUGCCCAAUCUCUUCUGAUCUUGGAAGCUAAGUAAGGUUGGGUCUGGUUAGUACUUGGAUAGGAAGAAAAAGCAAUGAACAGCUAUGAUCA